This 497-nucleotide ribosomal RNA is filed under the name uncultured bacterium. RNAcentral's name for it is "partial 16S ribosomal RNA". It matches the Rfam family "Bacterial small subunit ribosomal RNA", at positions 28 to 507 of the family's 1533-position model. The record is from RNAcentral.
GACGAACGCUGGCGGCGUGCCUAAUACAUGCAAGUUGAGCGAUGAAGAUUGGUGCUUGCACCAAUUUGGAGAGCAGCGAACGGGUGAGUAACGCGUGGGGAAUCUGCCUUUGAGCGGGGGACAACAUUUGGAAACGAAUGCUAAUACCGCAUAACAACUUUAAACAUAAGUUUUAAGUUUGAAAGAUGCAAUUGCAUCACUCAAAGAUGAUCCCGCGUUGUAUUAGCUAGUUGGUGAGGUAAAGGCUCACCAAGGCGAUGAUACAUAGCCGACCUGAGAGGGUGAUCGGCCACAUUGGGACUGAGACACGGCCCAAACUCCUACGGGAGGCAGCAGUAGGGAAUCUUCGGCAAUGGACGAAAGUCUGACCGAGCAACGCCUCGUGAGUGAAGAAGGUUGUCGGAUCGUAAAACUCUGUUGGUAGAGAAGAACGUUGGUGAGAGUGGAAAGCUCAUCAAGUGACGGUAACUACCCAGAAAGGGACGGCUAACUACGUG